RNAcentral lists this ribosomal RNA (253 nucleotides) under uncultured bacterium. RNAcentral describes it as "partial 16S ribosomal RNA". It matches the Rfam family "Bacterial small subunit ribosomal RNA", at positions 524 to 776 of the family's 1533-position model. The record is from RNAcentral.
UACGGAGGGUGCUAGCGUUGUUCGGAAUUACUGGGCGUAAAGGGCGCGUAGGCGGCCGUUUGCGUCGGAUGUGAAAGCCCGGGGCUCAACCUCGGAACGGCACUCGAUACGGGACGGCUGGAGACCGGGAGAGGAGAGUGGAAUAGCCAGUGUAGAGGUGAAAUUCGUAGAUAUUGGCUGGAACACCGGUGGCGAAAGCGGCUCUCUGGCCCGGUUCUGACGCUGAGGCGCGAAAGCGUGGGGAGCAAACAGG